Molecule: small nucleolar RNA, 64 nt
Organism: Cryptomeria japonica (Japanese cedar)
Lineage: Eukaryota; Viridiplantae; Streptophyta; Pinopsida; Cupressales; Cupressaceae
Product: small nucleolar RNA snoR101
Exons: 1
Source: RefSeq, a predicted model, not a curated record
GUUUUAUGCUUGAUCUCUGAAAGUCAGGUAAUUUGAAAUGAUGAAAACACUUGCUACUGAUGCA